This 274-nucleotide ribosomal RNA is filed under the name uncultured bacterium. Its description in RNAcentral is "partial 16S ribosomal RNA". It matches the Rfam family "Bacterial small subunit ribosomal RNA", at positions 523 to 796 of the family's 1533-position model. The record is from RNAcentral.
AUACAGAGGGUGCAAGCGUUAAUCGGAUUUACUGGGCGUAAAGCGUGCGUAGGUGGUUGGGUAAGUCAGAUGUGAAAGCCCCGGGCUUAACCUGGGAACUGCAUUUGAUACUGCCUAGCUAGAGUUUGGUAGAGGGAAGUGGAAUUCCAGGUGUAGCGGUGAAAUGCGUAGAUAUCUGGAGGAACACCAGUGGCGAAAGCGGCUUCCUGGACCGAAACUGACACUGAGGCACGAAAGCGUGGGGAGCAAACAGGAUUAGAUACCCCAGUAGUCC